UAUCACAGUCAUUGGAUGGGUG
This 22-nucleotide microRNA is filed under the name Melibe leonina. RNAcentral's name for it is "mle-miR-2h-3p". Its record names the gene mle-miR-2h-3p. Lineage: Eukaryota; Metazoa; Mollusca; Gastropoda; Nudibranchia; Dendronotidae. The record is from miRBase by way of RNAcentral.